Oncorhynchus gorbuscha (pink salmon) is the source of this 814-nucleotide long non-coding RNA. RefSeq lists it as uncharacterized. NCBI's taxonomy places the organism in Eukaryota, Metazoa, Chordata, Actinopteri, Salmoniformes, Salmonidae. The transcript has 4 exons. The record is from RefSeq and is a predicted model, not a curated record.
UCACACGCGAGUCGAAUUUGGGAGAUGGCUGUCGCAUGGCAAUCCUAAACGGACCAAAAAAAACGAUUAACACCGACGAAUAUGCGCAUUUCUUUGCCAGGGAUACGGUUAUCUAAGGCACGUUUUUUUUUCAUGAUUUAGCAAGGUUUAGUUCGCCUCGUCCCCGUGUGGAACAGAUUCACAUUUCUUUCUCAGACAUGCACGGACUGAGUGGCAAAUGUAAAUGGAGCGUAAUUUUCACUCUGUUCUUAUCUGUCAUUUGCGUGUUAAUCUUCUGUGAAUAUUUGAUAUUUAGCAAUUUUGCAUUGUUCGUGGUCGGAGUUGAAUGGGAACAGCGGCAAAGGACUCCCCAACCGCCCCAGCUUCGCGCUUUGUUUCUCUCGUGUACCCACCUGCUAAGAGCAGGGCAGAUGGAGAGGGCUUUCCGGACAGCCCUGGGGCUCCUACAGCCAGAGGUGGUCUUCAUUUUGGGAGACAUCGUUGACUGAGGGGAAAAGGAGCUCCUCAAAGCACUACCCUGUGUACCACCUGAACGAUGCAGAGUGCACUGGGAAGGAUGCCGCCUCUCCGGAAGAGCGCCACCAGGUGUUCCAUGAGCAUUAUGACAUGCUAUACCAGGAAGCUUCUCAAAGGUUUUCACGGUUUUGACCCCUGCCUGGACUACUGGACUACUUUCCCGCCUGCCUGAUCAUCCUGCCUGCCCUGACCUUGAAUCUGCCUGCCCUUCGGUACCUAUUGGACUCUGAACUGGUUGACCUUUUUCUUGUACAUGGCCAUUCUCUUGCCUACCCCUUUUGGAUUAAUAAACAUUGUA